Molecule: ribosomal RNA, 590 nt
Filed under: Carabus guadarramus
Lineage: Eukaryota; Metazoa; Arthropoda; Insecta; Coleoptera; Carabidae
Description: partial large subunit ribosomal RNA
Rfam family: Bacterial large subunit ribosomal RNA
Source: RNAcentral
UUUUAAAUGGCCGCAGUAUUUUGACUGUGCAAAGGUAGCAUAAUCAUUAGUUUUUUAAUUAAAAGCUUGUAUGAAAGGCUGGACGAGGUAAAAUCUGUCUCUAUUUAAAUUAUAGUAGAAUUUAACUUUUAAGUUAAAAGGCUUAAAUAUUAUUAAAAGACGAGAAGACCCUAUAGAUCUUUAUAAUUUAUUAAAUGAAAUUAAUUUAGAAAUAUUAAUAUUUUAUUUAAUGUAAUUAUUUUAUUGGGGUAAUAAAAAGAUUGUAUUAAUUCUUUUUUAUAAUAAACAUUGAUUUAUGAAUAUUAAUGAUCCAGUUUUACUGAUUAUAAGAUUAAGUUACCUUAGGGAUAACAGCGUAAUUUUUUUAGAGAGUUCAUAUCGAUAAAAAAGUUUGCGACCUCGAUGUUGGAUUAAAGAUUAUUUUAGGUGUAGAAGCUUAAUAAUUUUGGUCUGUUCGACCAUUAAAUCUUUACAUGAUCUGAGUUCAGACCGGCGUAAGCCAGGUCGGUUUCUAUCUUUAAUAAAAUAAAAUAUUUUAGUACGAAAGGACCAAAUAUUUGGUAUAUUUAUAUUUAAUUUAUUGAAUAUUA